This 761-nucleotide ribosomal RNA is filed under the name uncultured bacterium. Its description in RNAcentral is "bacterial SSU rRNA". It matches the Rfam family "Bacterial small subunit ribosomal RNA", at positions 28 to 776 of the family's 1533-position model. The record is from RNAcentral.
GAUGAACGCUAGCUACAUGUCUUAACACAUGCAAGUCGAGGGGCAGCAUUUCAGCUUGCUUGCAAACUGGAGAUGGCGACCGGCGCACGGGUGAGUAACACGUAUCCAACCUGCCGAUAACUCGGGGAUAGCCUUUCGAAAGAAAGAUUAAUACCCGAUGGUAUAAUUAGACCGCAUGGUCUUGUUAUUAAAGAAUUUCGGUUAUCGAUGGGGAUGCGUUCCAUUAGGCAGUUGGUGAGGUAACGGCUCACCAAACCUUCGAUGGAUAGGGGUUCUGAGAGGAAGGUCCCCCACAUUGGAACUGAGACACGGUCCAAACUCCUACGGGAGGCAGCAGUGAGGAAUAUUGGUCAAUGGGCGCAGGCCUGAACCAGCCAAGUAGCGUGAAGGAUGACUGCCCUAUGGGUUGUAAACUUCUUUUAUAUGGGAAUAAAGUUUUCCACGUGUGGAAUUUUGUAUGUACCAUAUGAAUAAGGAUCGGCUAACUCCGUGCCAGCAGCCGCGGUAAUACGGAGGAUCCGAGCGUUAUCCGGAUUUAUUGGGUUUAAAGGGAGCGUAGGUGGACAGUUAAGUCAGUUGUGAAAGUUUGCGGCUCAACCGUAAAAUUGCAGUUGAUACUGGCUGUCUUGAGUACAGUAGAGGUGGGCGGAAUUCGUGGUGUAGCGGUGAAAUGCUUAGAUAUCACGAAGAACUCCGAUUGCGAAGGCAGCUCACUGGACUGCAACUGACACUGAUGCUCGAAAGUGUGGGUAUCAAACAGG